AAUAUUUUCUAAUAAAUAAUAAUAUAUAAAUUUAUAAAAUAUAAUUUUAUUGUAAAUUUUUAGAUAAAUAUAAUGUAUAAAUUUAUAUUGAUUUGAAAUAAAUUAAAACUAGUGUAGUGGCCCGCGUGUUGUGCGGGUAGAUAAUAUACGAUAUUUAACUUUAGUUUUUGUACUAAAAUUUUUUCUUCAUUUUCUUUAAAUUAUAAUAUUUAAUUAUUUUCGUUACUAUCAUACUUUCAACAUAAAGAACAAACAAAGAGAAAGAAAAAUAGAACUAUAAAAAAAAAAAAUUUGAUAUAUAGAUAGCCUGAAGAAAUAUUUGAGAUCUUAUAAAGAAGCUAAAAAGACAAAAUAGUAAAUAUAUAAGAAAAAUUAAAAAUUUUA
RNAcentral lists this long non-coding RNA (384 nucleotides) under Ananas comosus (pineapple). RNAcentral describes it as "long non-coding RNA (ACOM_LNC005948)". Lineage: Eukaryota; Viridiplantae; Streptophyta; Magnoliopsida; Poales; Bromeliaceae. The record is from RNAcentral.